UGCGGGCCCUAGGGUCCACAGAUGACAUAUCAGUCGAUAGGCAUGCAUUUACUGUUCGAGGGAAACAAAUAAGGGUGCAGCUUAGGCGAAAAGAAAAUCGUCUUAUUGCCAGUGUCUAAACUCCUAACGACGGAAUGUGUCUCUGAGACUAUGAGUGUGGAUACACGUGUACUUAAAACAGCCCCGCCUG
Molecule: non-coding RNA, 190 nt
Organism: Equus caballus (horse)
Lineage: Eukaryota; Metazoa; Chordata; Mammalia; Perissodactyla; Equidae
Source: Rfam